Lepus europaeus (European hare) is the source of this 105-nucleotide small nuclear RNA. NCBI's taxonomy places the organism in Eukaryota, Metazoa, Chordata, Mammalia, Lagomorpha, Leporidae. The record is from RefSeq and is a predicted model, not a curated record.
GUUCACUUCAGCAGCACAGACACCAAAACUGGAACAUACAGAGAAGGUUAGCCUUGCCUCUGUGCAAGUGUUACACAUGAAUUCACAAAGUGGCUCUCUGUUUUU